UGACAUCAAGAACUAAUGUGACAAUCUCAAAUUACUAACACCCUCUGUUUUGAAAAUGAAAAGCUAUUUUUUUUCUAAUCAGUGGAUCAAUGGAAUAACAUCUGAACUAAUUUGUUAAAGAAAGGAACAUUUGAAAUCCAUUCCGUUUCCACAUAGCUCUCUCUGUAGCUUUUUCUGGUUUUCUUUUUUAUUUUUACCUCAGAUAAAACUGAAAGACCAGUCUUUCAAUCCUGCUGAAUGUGUUUGAGAUCUUUAUUCCAUUUUUACAACUCCCCUGAAGAAGCUUCUGAAUUGGAAAAAAUCUUCACAGUUAAUAAUCUUAUACUCAAAAGGCUUGAUUACUCCAUCCCCAAGCAAAAGACAUCAUGUUUUACAUGAAAGCAUUUUACAGACAAGCUCACUUUCUAAUUUCUUCCUCAUUUUUUAUCUCUCCAUCUAUCUGUCCAUUUAUAUUCCCUGAGUCUAGAAAUAAGGUCACCAUUAGCAUGGGUAG
RNAcentral lists this long non-coding RNA (493 nucleotides) under Bos taurus (domestic cattle). RNAcentral's name for it is "long non-coding RNA NONBTAT027040". The record is from RNAcentral. Lineage: Eukaryota; Metazoa; Chordata; Mammalia; Artiodactyla; Bovidae.